AACGCACCUUGCACUCUCUGGUAUUCCGGAGAGUAUGUCUGUUUGAGUGUCGUGAACCUCUCAACCCCGCCAGGUUUUUACCGACUUGGUUGCUGGGCUUGGAACUUGAGCGCCUGUCCUCUCACAAGGGACUCGUUCGAAAUACAAAUCGAGCUGUAUUGCAAAUGCGGUUUGAAUCUUGGCGUGAUAAGACCUCUUUUCGCCUUGAUGACGCGUUAGCUGAGCUUCAGUUAAUAACACACUUUUGAAGUCGAAUCAAUAGACCUCAGAUCAGACAGGACUACCCGCUGAACUUAA
Molecule: unclassified non-coding RNA, 297 nt
Filed under: Mycoacia sp.
Lineage: Eukaryota; Fungi; Basidiomycota; Agaricomycetes; Polyporales; Meruliaceae
Also listed under: 1 other name
Description: partial contains 5.8S ribosomal RNA, internal transcribed spacer 2, and large subunit ribosomal RNA
Rfam family: 5.8S ribosomal RNA (bases 1-52)
Source: RNAcentral